UUACAUCUCUUCGGAGGCAUUUUACGUAGGUGCUGCAUGGUUGUCGUCAGCUCGUGCCGUGAGGUGUCGGGUUAAGGUCCCAUAACGAGCGCAACCCCUACCUUUAGUUGCCAUCAGGUUAAGCUGGGGACUCUAAAGGAACUGCCUACGCAAGUAGUGAGGAAGGCGGGGAUGACGUCAAAUCAGCACGGCCCUUACGUCCAGGGCUACACACGUGCUACAAUGGCCGAUACAGAGGGCAGCUACCUGGUGACAGGAUGCAAAUCUCCAAAGUCGGUCUCAGUUCGGAUCGGAGUCUGCAACCCGACUCCGUGAAGUUGGAUUCGCUAGUAAUCGCGCAUCAGCCAUGGCGCGGUGAAUACGUUCCCGGGCCUU
This 375-nucleotide ribosomal RNA is filed under the name uncultured Sphingobacteriales bacterium. Its description in RNAcentral is "bacterial SSU rRNA". It matches the Rfam family "Bacterial small subunit ribosomal RNA", at positions 1010 to 1382 of the family's 1533-position model. The record is from RNAcentral. Lineage: Bacteria; Pseudomonadati; Bacteroidota; Sphingobacteriia; Sphingobacteriales.